This 2382-nucleotide long non-coding RNA is filed under the name Gossypium barbadense (sea-island cotton). Its description in RNAcentral is "long non-coding RNA (GBAR_LNC014604)". Lineage: Eukaryota; Viridiplantae; Streptophyta; Magnoliopsida; Malvales; Malvaceae. The record is from RNAcentral.
ACACAGUUCGAUCAUUUUAAUCACUCCUAUUAAAAUCUCAAAUGAAUAUUUGACAUGACAUUUUUCUUUAAAAUUUGUUUUUCUUUUUCUUUUUUUCCUUUUACUCUUUUAAUUCCUUUCUAAUCUCCCUUUUCUUCUAACCCUAGCGACUAUCUGGCGAAGAGCUUCACCACUAUUGCUCCAACAUACACAAAGCCACCACUAAAAGAUAGGUCUCUACACUCUCUACCCAUCCUUCGAUAUAGAUUUUCACAAAAAACGAUCAAAACCUACAAAAGCCCAAGCAAAGGUUUGAAGCUGGAAACUUUGAUUCACCAGCAUCCACCGUUAAAUUGUUGCAAGCCCAAUAUAUGUUAUUCUCCUCGAGCCCUCAUUUACCUUUGCCAUUCGGAUUGUUGAAUGGAGCUCCGAUGCCCAAAUAACCAAAAAGCUUAAAAGAUGAGUUCUCCUCUAUAUGCCUUUUUUUUCCCUUUUUUGCUCUUUCUUUGAUUUUUGCUUUGCUUCUUGCUCUCCUUCUUUUGCUUGAUUUUUUUUUCAUUCUUGCUCUUCGACUUUUGCUUGAUUUUUUUUUCAUUCUUCCUCUAUUGCAAAGGAUUUUUUAUUAUUUAUUUGCUCUUUUCGAUCUGUAGUUUGAUGGUUGAUGGUGUGUGUGGGGCAAGUAUUGCUUGCAGUCUAGGUUUUUAGUUCUUCCCCAGUCGAUUGUGCUUUGAAUCUUUGAGCUUCAUCUUAGUUUCUAUAAAAUGUACUUUUUAUUGGAGGAUUGCUCGCAAGAAUGAGUAAGGCUAUGGAUUUUAAUGAAGUUGGAGAUGGUGGCCACAAAAUUCCAAGUGCUUAUUAGGACCGUUGUCACCACCCUCAACGUUUAGUCGUUCAAUUCGAUGGAUAUUUGUGGCAAAGUGAAGGAUUGAUGAAGAUGGUAGCGAAACAAGCACGAAAUUAGAGAACCGAAAUCUACGCUAAUGAUUCUUUCACUUUUGGAUUAAAAGUUGGGGACUAAAAUGAUAGUUUCUUAAUGAAUAACAAUUACAUGAAAUUUACUUUAAUUACAUGUAAAAUAAAAAAUUAAAAGAAAUAUCCACGUCAGGUUGUCUUUUGUGAUUAUAACAUGAGUGAGCACAAUGACUGAACUAUGUAACGUGUGUGUCUAAAUUGCAAACAUUUUUAUUUUGGAUGCCUAAAAUGAAAAUUUUCAAUUAUAAAAAAAUUUCAUUCUAAGCACUCAAAAUAAAAGGUUUACAAUUUAAGCACUUACAUUACAUAGUUCAAUCAUUUCGGCCACUCUCAUUAUAAUCACAAAUGACAAGAUGACAUAGAUAUUCCUUUUAAGUUUUGAUUUCCCACGUAAUUAAAGUAAAUUCCAUGUCAUUGUUGUUCAUUAAAAAAAUCAUUUUAGUCCCCAAAUGUUUAAUUUACUUUAAAUGAUUAAUAAAUUAUCAUUUUAGUCCAAAACUAAAAGAACAUGUCUUGUGACUCAUUCAUCAUUGGGGUCGAUUUCGAUUCUCUCCUUUCCUCCUUGCUUCGCUACCAACUCUAUCGAUUUCUUCACUUCGCCGUAAACAUCCAUCGAAUUCAACAACAAAACGUCAAUGGUGGUGGUGGUGGUCCUAAUAAGCACUCAUACUUGAGUGGCCAAAAUCCAUAGCCUUGCUCAUUCUCACUAGCAAUCCUCCAAUAAAAAGUGAACUAUUUGGAAAGUAAUAUGAAGCUCGGAGAAGCAAAGCAUGGCCGACUAGGGAAGAACUAAAAACCCAAAUUGUGAGCAAUAUUCACCCCAUACACAUCAGCAACCAUCAAACCCCAACCCAAAAAGAGCAAAUCAAAAAGCCUCUACAGAGGAAUGAAAAAAAAAUCAAGCAAAAGAUAAAGAGCAAGAAGAAAAGUAAAAAUCAGAGAAAUAAUAAAGAAUGAAAAAAAAAACAUAGAGAGAAUAACUCAUCUUUUGGGAUUAUCAGUCAUUUGAGCAUGAGAUUCCAUUCAAAAUCCAAAUGGUAAAGGGUCGAGGAGAACAACAUAUCUUGAGCUUAGGACAAUCUAGCGAUGGAUGCCAACAAAUGAGGAUUUUGAACUUCGAACUUUUGCUUGGGGUUUUGUAGGUUUUGGUCACUUUUUUGGGAAAAUCUAAAUUGAAGGAUGGAUACAGGAUGUGGAGACCAGUCUUUUGAUGGUGGUUUUGUGUCUAUUGGAGCACCAAUGGUGGAGCUCUUCGACCGAUGGCGGCUAAGGUUAGAAGAAAAAGGAAAUAAAGAGAAAAUAAAAGAAAACAUGAAACUAGAAAGAAAUAAAAUCAAAAUUAUUGAACUAUAUAAUAUGAUUAGCUAAAAUGAAAUUUUUUAUAGUUAAAUGAUUAUUUGUAUAAUUCACCCCUCCUUUUUUAUAUUUUAU